AAACAUCUAAGUACCCCGAGGAAAAGAAAUCAACCGAGAUUCCCCCAGUAGCGGCGAGCGAACGGGGAGCAGCCCAGAGUCUGAAUCAGCUUGUGUGUUAGUGGAAGCGUCUGGAAAGUCGCACGGUACAGGGUGACAGUCCCGUACACGAAAGCACACAGGUUGUGAACUCGAAGAGUAGGGCGGGACACGUGGUAUCCUGUCUGAAUAUGGGGGGACCAUCCUCCAAGGCUAAAUACUCCUGACUGACCGAUAGUGAACCAGUACCGUGAGGGAAAGGCGAAAAGAACCCCGGCGAGGGGAGUGAAAAAGAACCUGAAACCGUGUACGUACAAGCAGUGGGAGCACCUUCGUGGUGUGACUGCGUACCUUUUGUAUAAUGGGUCAGCGACUUAUAUUCUGUAGCAAGGUUAACCGUAUAGGGGAGCCGAAGGGAAACCGAGUCUUAACUGGGCGUUAAGUUGCAGGGUAUAGACCCGAAACCCGGUGAUCUAGCCAUGGGCAGGUUGAAGGUUGGGUAACACUAACUGGAGGACCGAACCGACUAAUGUUGAAAAAUUAGCGGAUGACUUGUGGCUGGGGGUGAAAGGCCAAUCAAACCGGGAGAUAGCUGGUUCUCCCCGAAAGCUAUUUAGGUAGCGCCUCGUGAACUCAUCUUCGGGGGUAGAGCACUGUUUCGGCUAGGGGGCCAUCCCGGCUUACCAACCCGAUGCAAACUACGAAUACCGAAGAAUGUUAUCACGGGAGACACACGGCGGGUGCUAACGUCCGUCGUGAAGAGGGAAACAACCCAGACCGCCAGCUAAGGUCCCAAAGUCAUGGUUAAGUGGGAAACGAUGUGGGAAGGCACAGACAGCCAGGAUGUUGGCUUAGAAGCAGCCAUCAUUUAAAGAAAGCGUAAUAGCUCACUGGUCGAGUCGGCCUGCGCGGAAGAUGUAACGGGGCUAAACCAUG
Molecule: ribosomal RNA, 954 nt
Filed under: Enterobacter roggenkampii
Lineage: Bacteria; Pseudomonadati; Pseudomonadota; Gammaproteobacteria; Enterobacterales; Enterobacteriaceae
Description: partial 23S ribosomal RNA
Rfam family: Bacterial large subunit ribosomal RNA
Source: RNAcentral